AUCGUUUUUUCAAUCGAUGCUUCGAUCACUCCCGUUACCGAUUAACCAGAAAUACGACAGUAGUCUUCAAUCGUUAUGUUCAAUCGACGCUUCAAUCAGUAGGCUCAAUUGAAGGCUCAAUCAGUGUUACGGAGACUUCGGAAAACUCUUCAAACCCUAUCAUUCUCCAGCUCUGCAUCCUUCAGUUUCCAAUCUAAAUCCCUCCACUCCCCCUCUCCCUCCGUCCCUCCACCUCCCGUCGGAAUGGCUUCAUCGUCAAAGCUGUAAGUAGCUCACAAUCUCUCACUUUGUUUAGCCGUGUGGUGAGGAUCGAACAUUAGACAUUUGUUCAUUCACAUAAUUGAAACUAUGUUCUACAACACCAUUAUACCAAUAUCUAAAUUUUCUUAUCAUGUGCUCGUUGAUUAUGGAAGUAGAUGUAUUCGAUAUGGAUUUGAAAUUCUAGAAUGUAUUUUAGUGUUUAUAGGGCCUUCCACUAGUUGGAUAUGUUGCACCAGAUUUUGAAGUCGAAACUGUUUUUGAUCAAGAAUUCAUCAAAGUAACUAAAUCAACUCAUAUCAUUGAUUAUAUAUAAAAUCCCAGAUUUCAUAACUUUGUAAGAAAUUUAUGAAUUAUAGGUUAAGCUCUUUGACUACAAUGGCAAGAAAUAUGUCAUUUUCUUUUUCUACCCUCUUCAUUUCACUUUCGUUUGUCCAACAUGUGAGUUUCACUUUCACUUUCACAUUACUUUUAAACAUAAUUUGAUCCAAUUUUUUUCUUAAUUAUGUGUUUAUCAUGUAGAAAUCACUGCAUUCAGUGAUAGACAGGCAGAAUUUUACAAGAAAAACACAGAGAUAUUGAGUGUUUUAGUAGACAGUGUGGUAAAUUCUAAUUCUUCCUUUACCCUGCUUAUAUCUUAAUACAAAAUUUUACAUUAUGAUUUAUGAAUUUAUGAUUCUAUUUUCUUUUUUCUUAAUACAAAUAUGACCUGGCCGAUUUUUAUUGUUGCUGCAGUUGAUGUGCUAUUUUUGGGAUGAGCUCAAGCACAUACGACAUGCUAUUUGCAUUCCUGGUAUGCAUAUAGAUAUUAUUGCCUAAUAAAAAUCAUUUAAUAAUCAUGUAUAUAAGUCGUGAUGUUGGUUUUUUUAGGUUACCCAACAAAAGCGAAAGAGGACACUGCAUGAAAUAAGUUAUGACCUCUGUCCUGUAAGUUUGUGCAAACUUUGAGAUUAUAUUUUAUCAUAUUUAAACUUUCACCUCACCUGCAUGUGCAAACUUUCUCCUAAAGUCAGUCUCAGUAUCAUUUAUUCUUUUUUACUUCUUUUACUAAUACCUAUAAUUCCUCCAUUCUUCCAAAACAUUGCCCCUAAAUUUCAGGUUUUUGCUACUAAAAUGGUCUAAGUUAAAGACUGAUGGAAUAUGCAUGCAGUAUACUGUUCUCGACAGAUGAGCUGACAAGUUCAAUGGAUCCAAUUCAAGGCUAUGUUGUUUUUGCUGUGUUGCGUUUUCCUAUUGUUGUUUUAUGUUUAUUGUUUGUAAUUUUUCAUUUUUAUCAUCUCUACUUGUUAAAUUUCACUUGAUUGGAAAUGUUUUCUAUGAUGUUUUUUAAUUGUGGGAAGUGUUUUUAAAUUUUAAUAGGUGGCCUAUGUAAGUUUUUAUAAUUGUUUUAUUAUCAUAUUCUUAUACUUCUGAUGUUUGUAAAGGUUAAUAUCCAUGCCAUAUGCUCUAUAAUUUAUAAAUAAAAACUUUUAUAUUUAAGAAGCCGGGUACCCGGAACCGGAACCGGUUCCGGCGGUUCUGGAAGCGGUUUCAGUUUUCUAGGAACCGGUGUAGGCGGUUCCGGUUCCGGUUCCAAUAACUUAAGAACCGCGGUUCCGGGAGUGGUUCCGGUUCCAGCAAAAAUAGGCGGGUACCUGCUUAUGCUCAUCCCUACUAUGAACAACAUGUCAC
Molecule: long non-coding RNA, 1929 nt
Filed under: Lactuca sativa (garden lettuce)
Lineage: Eukaryota; Viridiplantae; Streptophyta; Magnoliopsida; Asterales; Asteraceae
Description: long non-coding RNA (LSAT_LNC001625)
Source: RNAcentral